RNAcentral lists this unclassified non-coding RNA (349 nucleotides) under soil metagenome. RNAcentral describes it as "partial contains 5.8S ribosomal RNA, internal transcribed spacer 2, and large subunit ribosomal RNA". The stretch from base 1 to 120 matches the Rfam family "5.8S ribosomal RNA", at positions 35 to 154 of the family's 154-position model. The record is from RNAcentral.
GAUGAAGAACGCAGCGAAAUGCGAUAAGUAAUGUGAAUUGCAGAAUUCAGUGAAUCAUCGAAUCUUUGAACGCACAUUGCGCCCGCCUGUAUUCUGGCGGGCAUGCCUGUCCGAGCGUCAUUUCAACCCUCGAACCCCUCCGGGGGGUCGGCGUUGGGGAUCGGCCCCUCACCGGGCCGCCCCCGAAAUCCAGUGGCGGUCUCGCCGCAGCCUCUCCUGCGCAGUAGUUUGCACACUCGCACCGGGAGCGCGGCGCGGCCACAGCCGUAAAACACCCCAAACUCUGAAAUGUUGACCUCGGAUCAGGUAGGAAUACCCGCUGAACUUAAGCAUAUCAAUAAGCGGAGGA